GGAACACAAUGGAAAUGAAGGUAAAAUCUAGUGUGAAAUUACUUGAACAAAUGCUGAAAUGUGACCUAUAUGGAUUCUUAGAAUUGAGAGCCACAUACCUAGGUAGUUACAAUGUUUUAAUUCAGAUAUAUACUGGAAUGGUUGAAAUUAGAGAAUGUGACUAAGCAACAUGACUAGACUAAUCCUCAUCAAUUUUUACAUCUGAAGUGAUUCAAAUCAAUUAUCAUCACAGUGAUGUCAUCCAGACUACCUCUUCUCAGGGCAAGGUUCACAAGCUCCUUACAAGCAGCCACAAGCCCCACAGAGGCAGGUCCCUUCUUGUGGGUACUGUUUUCUUUAUUAGGUGAAUCAAUUUUGGUGUUUAUUCGCUUGAACAUUGAAAUUCGUCUUGACUUGGUCGGAGGACUUCCAUUUUCACAUGCAAAGUCAUCUUGCUUAUCUUUCCAGCCAUCAACUGUCUGCUUGUUUCUUGGUGACUGUUUUGACCCCUUUUGAUGCUUGACCAGGGAAACCCUUCGCAACUUUGAUGAAGGACUUACAUUGACACAGCCAUAACAAACAUCAUCAUCAUCUUUUUGAUCAUCUCCUGUGGAUCCCAGUUUCUUCUGAGUCAUACACAAUGAAAUCACAGUAUCAACAGCUUCUUGGUUCCCAACCUAGGCCACAAUAUCACACACUAAAGUCAACAAUCACUCAAAACCAUAGACAUAUGGAUUCUGUUUGCCAAUUUCAUGCAAUAGGACCUCAAUGUCGCAGGGGCUGAAAGAUGAUUGACAGAAUGAGGAGUGCUUCAAUCACAUGUUAGUGCAAUGCACUCUAUAACACGAGUAAUUUGCAGUCCUUAUUACAAUAUUCACUUGAAGCCAACUUCAAUUUCACAUUUGCAGAUUAAAUAGAAAUAUGUUGCUUUUUUUGGUUUAACAGGUAAAUGAGAUGAAUUUAACAAAACAUAGUCAAGCAUAAGUCUAUUUCCCAAUAUGUUAAUAUACAGUAUGAGUUAAAGAUCUGGCAUUGAGGCAAAGACUUCCACAAGUUGUUCCCCAACUC
RNAcentral lists this unclassified non-coding RNA (1047 nucleotides) under Hevea brasiliensis (rubber tree). The record is from RNAcentral. Lineage: Eukaryota; Viridiplantae; Streptophyta; Magnoliopsida; Malpighiales; Euphorbiaceae.